UGCAAGUCGAGCGAGAUUUUUUUCUGUAGCAAUACAGGAAGAAGUCUAGCGGCGAACGGGUGCUUAACACGUGGGCAAUCUGUCGUAAAGUGGGGGAUAGCUCGGCGAAAGCCGAAUUAAUACCGCAUGUGAUUAGAGUGGACAUCCAUUCAAAAUCAAAGUCGGGGCAACCUGACGCUUUUUGAGGAGCCCGCGGCCUAUCAGCUUGUUGGUGAGGUAACGGCUCACCAAGGCUUUGACGGGUAGCUGGUCUGAGAGGACGACCAGCCACACUGGGACUGAGACACGGCCCAGACACCUACGGGUGGCAGCAGUCGAGAAUUUUUCUCAAUGGGGGAAACCCUGAAGGAGCGACGCCGCGUGGAGGAUGAAGGUCUUCGGGUUGUAAACUCCUGUCAUUUGGGAACAAGGCGUAUGUAUUAACUGUACGUGCGUUGAUAGUACCAGAAGAGGAAGAGACGGCUAACUCUGUGCCAGCAGCCGCGGUAAUACAGAGGUCUCAAGCGUUGUUCGGAUUCAUUGGGCGUAAAGGGUGCGUAGGCGGCGCGGUAAGUCGGGUGUGAAAUCUCGGAGCUUAACUCCGAAACUGCAUUCGAUACUGCCGUGCUUGAGGACUGGAGAGGAGACUGGAAUUUACGGUGUAGCGGUGAAAUGCGUAGAUAUCGUAAGGAAGACCAGUGGCGAAGGCGGGUCUCUGGACAGUUCCUGACGCUGAGGCACGAA
Molecule: ribosomal RNA, 723 nt
Filed under: uncultured Verrucomicrobiota bacterium
Lineage: Bacteria; Pseudomonadati; Verrucomicrobiota
Description: bacterial SSU rRNA
Rfam family: Bacterial small subunit ribosomal RNA
Source: RNAcentral